Drosophila montana is the source of this 501-nucleotide long non-coding RNA. RefSeq lists it as uncharacterized. The transcript is spliced from 2 exons. The record is from RefSeq and is a predicted model, not a curated record. NCBI's taxonomy places the organism in Eukaryota, Metazoa, Arthropoda, Insecta, Diptera, Drosophilidae.
GGGCACACUCUUUGUGCAGCACAGGACGUUUAUGUUCAGGAACUGGCUGGCUUCGAGCAGCUCGUUUAGGAUCUGAUCGCUUUCCUCAAUGGGCCAAUGCGUAGAGGCGUACUUCACAAUGGCCGUGGCGCUGCAAGAGGUCAACUUUUCUUAAUCUGUGUAUACUAAAAGACUGUUGAAAUGGGAAGCAGUUUGAACUCUGAGAUCGCCCCGUUUAUACAGACGGAUGGGAAGUUCGUUUCGUAUCCAAUAUUAAGAGUGAGACUUACACCAAAACACUGUCCGGAUAUUGUUUUAGAUAUGCCAUUAGGGAUUUAAGUAUGCUCUCAUCCUCUAAUCUAGCCUCGAUAUUGUUUAAUAAAGUCGCUAUACGUUGGGCUGUUAGAAUGGUGCCUUGACUAAGUAAGUCGCCGGGCUUGAUGCUCAUCUCGUCCAAUUGCUUCCAACUAAUGAGUUUCUCACAAGUAAACCAAUCGACAGCUCGGUGCUGCACAAAACUGA